This 414-nucleotide ribosomal RNA is filed under the name uncultured bacterium. Its description in RNAcentral is "bacterial SSU rRNA". It matches the Rfam family "Bacterial small subunit ribosomal RNA", at positions 917 to 1333 of the family's 1533-position model. The record is from RNAcentral.
GGACCCGCACAAGCGGUGGAGCAUGUGGUUUAAUUCGAUGCAACGCGAAAAACCUUACCUACUCUUGACAUACUUGGGAGCUCUUGUAAUGAGAGUGUGCCUUAUGGAACCAAGAUACAGGUGCUGCAUGGCUGUCGUCAGCUCGUGUCGUGAGAUGUUCCGUUAAGUCGGAUAACGAGCGCAACCCUUACCCUUAUUUGCCAGCGAUUCGGUCGGGAACUAUAAGGGGACUGCCGGUGAUAAACCGGAGGAAGGUGAGGACGACGUCAAGUCAUCAUGGCCCUUACGAGUAGGGCUACACACGUGCUACAAUGGGAAAUACAGACGGACGCUAAGCCGCGAGGUGGUGCUAAUCCUAGAAAGUCGCCUCAGUUCAGAUUGGAGUCUGCAACUCGACUCCAUGAAGUCGGAAUC